AUCCCAUGGUGUGGACACUUACCCAGCAUAUUCUUGAAUCGAUUCCAGGCUUCAUUGAAAUUUUCUGAGCCGCCUUCGCAAAAAACAGAGAUGCCAUGCUUGAGCUU
This 107-nucleotide small nucleolar RNA is filed under the name Olea europaea subsp. europaea. RNAcentral's name for it is "Plant small nucleolar RNA R71". It matches the Rfam family "Plant small nucleolar RNA R71". Rfam says of the family: R71 is a member of the C/D box family of snoRNAs containing the C (UGAUGA) and D (CUGA) box motifs. Multiple nearly identical copies of this snoRNA have been identified in Arabidopsis, and it is thought to function as a 2'-O-ribose methylation guide for 18S ribosomal RNA. The record is from Rfam by way of RNAcentral. Lineage: Eukaryota; Viridiplantae; Streptophyta; Magnoliopsida; Lamiales; Oleaceae.